AAUUAAUAUUAAUUCGUGGAAGAUGUAAAUUGGUGGAUAAAGGAUACCUACAAAUCCAUGAAUGUUGAGCCACCAGUCGUCCACGAUAUCUAAUGAUUCCACAGUAUAUAUGGUUUAAACUACAGGGAAAAAACAACAAAUAAAAUAUGUCUUCAUUACAGGAUAUUGCGGUGUUCUAGACAAGAAUACAUAUAACUUUGAUUACGUACCAUGUCGGGCUAUCCGUGGAUGUCCGGAUCAAGUUUAUACAUCAAGUGAAAUUUAUAAAUUUCCAGUGUGUUUUGAUAAUUUUUAUGGUGAAACUACACAGUCUUCCACAAGGAAACAAAGUACCAACACAGUAACAUUGAUGAGGAAACCUUCAGAGACUGAGAAUGGAAGUUCUGGAACUGAUGUUGGGAUUGUGUUUGCUGUAGUGGUUGUAGUGCUGAUUCUACUUAUAACCAUUGCUUUGGUUAUUGUGUUUGUUUUGUAUC
Long non-coding RNA from Saccostrea cuccullata (small rock oyster), 476 nucleotides. RefSeq lists it as uncharacterized. The transcript has 4 exons. The record is from RefSeq and is a predicted model, not a curated record. Lineage: Eukaryota; Metazoa; Mollusca; Bivalvia; Ostreida; Ostreidae.